UUUUUUUUGUGAAAGAAGCAAAGAAUAAAUUCAAAUAUGAGUUGCUAAUAUGCUGCAGCAUAAAAAAGGUAGGAAGAGCUGUGUGGAGAGGCAUCAUGUCUCUGAGCAAGGAAGUGGUAGUUUAUUGUCUAAGAAUUACUGUCUUCUACUUUCUGGAAUAUAUAUUUCUGUAAUCUGGGCAGCAAAACUUCAUUUGCUGUUUUUCUUUUUAUUUUCUCUCAGCUUACAUGUUAACAAAAUAUCUCUUUUAUUUGAAAGUUUUCCAUUAGUCAGCAUUUAACAAGUAAAGUAAGGAUUGAUACACAGUCUUCAUAAUAAAUUCAAACAUACUGAAACAGUGUAUUUCUAUUUUUAAAAUACCAGCUGCUAAGAUAAGGAGAGGGAAUAUUUUCUGAUGUUCUGGAGAAAGUGAGGCUUAGGGAAGGAAAGUACUAUGCAAGUAAAAACAUGAAGCAACAUUUUGAAAGGUAUGCAUAAUUAAUCAUGGAAAUUCUACAGAAAGCUAUGUUUAAAUUCAGUGAGGGAACACAAAAUUAAGACUAAGUGAAGCUUUUUAAGUACACAUGAAUUAAAAAAGUUUGCAUGUGGUACAGAAAGGGAACUCUGCCUUUCUGUCUGGCACUGCGGGGGUUAUUUCCCUGAGUACUUUAAUUGAUGUCAUCCACUGUAUUAAAUGGGGCCUGGCCACUGGGUAGAGGGUGAAACUAUGAAUGAGGAAUAAAUCGUUGAUUUCUGCCUUGUCAAAUGCACUGAAUAUACUUGUGCUGCUUUUCUUUUAUCUUUGGAGGAAAUGUGUCAGUUCUCUUCUUGGGCAAUACUUUUUUCAGCCUCUUUAAGUACUGUUGUAAUGCAGGUUAAAACCAGUGCAUUUAUCCUUUGUCAAUGUAUAGUAUUAGUUCUCCUUCAUAUUUGCAUUUGUAUUUACGUCCAGAUGUUAUAUGGUCACAAAACAGGUGAUUUUUAUCAAUUAGGAAAAUAGAGGAGAGGGCUGUGUGUAAGUAUAUAUAGACUUGACAUUGUUCUCCAAGUAUAUAAGUUCCAGCCAGUGGCUCUUGUGUUACUGAUUUUAUAUUCUCAGUUAAAUAUAUCGAGUUCCUAAUGAAAUCACUGGGAAUGACUCAUUUGUAUAUACAAAGUGAAAUGGGACAUUUUGCUCUUAGGUGAAGUUUCAAAAUGUAACUCAGAACUUCAAGAAUAUCAGUUAAAAAAAGAAAAAUACCUUCAAGUAAUGUAGCUUUUGAUUCUCGGUUGUAUUGUUAGAAAUCUCUUGGUCCAUUUAUGCACUACCUACAAUUGACAGAAUUGUCCACUUUAUGAUUAAAACAGUUUUUAAACUAUCUGCUUAACUGUAUCCAAGAGCAGAUGUAUACAACUCAGUGGUAAGGCAUGGCAGACUCGUGUCAUCUUUUCAUCUAAAACAUCUUUUAGGCCUUUAACCCUUUGAUAAAUUGACUGACAAAUUCUUUUGAUGGAGUGAACUCUUUUAACAACACAUAACAAUAUUAUUUUAAACAGAAUCUGCCCAUACAAGGUAUUCCUCCUCAUUUCAAAGUGGAAAAUAUUGUUUUGGUGUUUAGCUGUACAUCUGACGGGGAAAAGACGUAUGUCCUGCCCUGAUCCAUUCAAUAGUGUGCAAAGCUCUUUGUUUCCUGCUUCCUCCCCAGAGUUUCUGUAGCGUGGGUUUUUUGUUUAUUAAAGCCUAGGAGGGCAAUGAAAUAAUAUACACAAUAAUUGAAUAGUGUCUGUUUUUCAUGUAAGAGGUUUCCAUCAAAACUUAAUUUUAAACGUAAAAUUUGGCAAUGCAUCCCACUGAGCAAUGUUUGGAAUGCAUGCUACAGCAGAGCAAACAGUAUCACCCAUACUCUUAUGCAACACAAAAUUCCUGCUGGGAGCUCCUUGGCAUGGUAACUGGUGUCUGGGGCACAACACAUUACUACUUUUCUUCUUGGGCUAAGCCCAGCUACUCCAAGCUGCAAGAAGGAAUAAAGACAUUUACUAAUUACUGAUCUGCUCAAUAAAGAAACAGGAAGCAAACAAACUGCAUUUGAAAGUUCAGUGACAGACUAAAGUUCUGACACCCUCAUGGCAGGGGAAGAAAUCAACUGUAAUCUAGUCCCUGGCUGCAAGUCAGUCAUCCUCUUUUCUGUUUAAUUCAACUUUAGUAUAGAACAAUUGAAUAAUCCAAGAUAAAUGCAAGCACUAAGGAGGCUGACUCCACGUCCUGCUAUCUUUAUGUUUACAUAAAGUUGUUUUGUAUGUAUGAUGCAUUGAUUUCUUUCUUCUUUAUUCCUGCAUUUGAACAAUGUCCAGUAACUUUUGGGUCUGGAGACAACCUGUAAAUUCUUAAGCAGCUUUUUGAGUUUGAAACACAUUUCUCAAAAUCUGAAGUCUACAUAUCUGUCUUUGUUAAGGAAGUCUGAUGUAGCUCUUGUUAUCUGUGGCUCUUUUCCAACAGACCAAAAUAUUUCAACAUCAGUAUUAAAAUGAAAAACUAAAUAUAUGUUAAGCAUAGUUAAAUUUCAUUUCAUCACAUGUAAGAUUUGCUGGUGAUUUCAACUCAUGUCCCAUAUCCAGGUGGCGCUUUAACUGUACACCAUGGCUCAGUACUCUGGUUAGGCACACUCAGAGCUGAUCUGCUGAAAUGGCCUCUGGUACUUAAGGAUCUUGGCUUGACUUAUCAGUUUGAACUAGGGAUCAAAGCGAACUAUUUGGCAGUAUCAUUUCACAGGCAACUUUACAGACACCCCUGUGCAAGUAGUUGAAGCUUAGCUCUCAGAAUUAGGCAGCAGCUGAGCGAUGCUUUUGGAAAGAGGUGUCAGUGAUAAAGUUGGGUUCCUUGCCUCAUUAAGCACUUCAGUGUCUUCUGGGGACAUGUUCUGUCUCCCAGAGUGAUCACGUUUUAUGACAGCAUUUACUCCAUUACUGCAUGGUACAUUUCAUCACUGUGCAACAGCAGACAUAUCCUUCAUUAUUCAAAUACUUGACACAAAACUUGUUGACUGCUCUGAAAUAUUUUUUCUUGCCCUUCAGGCUGUCUUAUUUCUCUGUUCAAGGCUGUACAAGUACUACACUGUUAUUGCCAGACCCGUUUUCUACAAAUACAUGGGAAGGCACUAAUUGUGUCAGCAGCUUGGCUUUCUGGAACUCUCAGCCUCAGCUGCUGUGCUGGUAACUAAGUGUAAUCCAGCUGGCCAGCCAGCUUGCUGAGCUCCUGCAAGCUGAACUGCAGAUUGUACCCUCAACCUUUUACUGGCUGGCUUAAUACAACAUUGCAGGGGAGAUGGACUGUAAUGCAAUUAUCUUACAAGAAAAACUGAAGACCUAAACAUGUCUGCCUCUGCAGGGCAGUGAAAUGGAAAAUAAAGUGUCAGAUGUAUUACAUCAUGAUUGUACUUUAAAUUGCUGUUGUCAGCAAAAUAGUGAUUCCAGCCAGAUACUCAUUGCCAUGCAACAGAACACUGCUGGAGUUCUAAGUAAAAAGAAUUUUCACAUAUAGUGUAAUGGCUUCCCUCUCUUUUAUUCUAAACUUGUAUCAGUUAAUUUACUGGAAAUUUCUUGAUACUGAACAGUGUGAUGUGCCCAGAAAGCAUGCCUUCAAAAAGCUUCCUGGAAUAAAUGAGCUGACCUCUGCAGUGGGUGCUUUGGAUAGCAUAAACUAAAACUAUGAUGCCUCAGAUGUAAGUUAAAAAACUUCCAUGAGACAGUAUUAAUUAAAAAUGAACAUGUCCAUUUUAAUACUGAUUCAACUACAUACUUUUUUUCUACACUGUGUACAAAUCAAUAUGCAAGUUCUAUUUCUAGCUUAAACUCUCUUAUUUGUUUAUGCAGUGAUGACAACCCUGACUCCCUUUCACUGGUAUCUGAAUUUUUGGCCCUGACUAUUUAUGAGCUGAUAAAAGUUUCCAGCCUCUUUUUCUUGGAUGUAAUGAGCUGGACCACAUCUCAAAAAUCCAUGAAGUGAUAGGCACUCCUGGUAACAAAACUCCAAAAUUUCAAGCAGUGGAUCUUACUCAGUUUGGCACAUACAAUACUUCAAGGAUAUUGAUUUCCUAACAAGUUCUUUGCUGUUAAACCUCUGGAGACAACUUACACUUCUCUGGCUGUUGGAUGAAUAGGCAAACUUGUGUUUCCCAUCUGCUUUAUAGUUAAAAUACACCCAAACUUUAAACUACAAACUGGCAAGGAUGGUCCCACCCUCAUUCUUCCAGCUAAAAUUCCAUACUGAGAUUAUCUGUGUUCCGCUUACUUUUAAUUAUUUUUUUUAAUGUAGUAGGAAAAAUAUUUUAUUAAAAGUUGCAUCUACAGUAGAGUUCGUAAGUUCCUUCCAGGUAAGUUAUUAGUACCCUGUUUCUUACUAAAAUAAUUUUUUUUCCAUAUAGAACAGAGUGUGGUAUGGACAAUUUAAGCUUCUAGGUGAUUGCCCUAAUAGUAAAGAAGAGGCUGAAAAAAGAAAACCCACACACAUUCCUUGUGUGCUGCUGGACUACAAUUUGUGGCAGGGACAUACCCUGCCAACAUGGAUGUGAGUAGCUGCUGUUGUUCCCCUGAUGCUGGAUAUUGCAAUUCUUCCCCUACUGGUUUGUAUUUUUCCAGCUGAAGGAAAAAAAAGUCUUUUAAAAAGUUACUGCAUAUUUUUUCAGCUAUGUUAUUUUGACUCAGACCAUAUGAAGCACUUAUAUAGAAGUCGUCUACGGGGAGAUAACUACAUGAGUUUUCAGUGAUGAGGUUUAUCUGUAUUUUAACAGUUAAACCCACUAUGUUAAUAAAACAAAACUUCUGAAAAAU
This is a long non-coding RNA of Taeniopygia guttata (zebra finch), 4785 nucleotides long. The record is from Ensembl. Lineage: Eukaryota; Metazoa; Chordata; Aves; Passeriformes; Estrildidae.